UACGAAGGGUGCAAGCGUUGCUCGGAAUUACUGGGCGUAAAGCGCACGUAGGCGGCUUCUUAAGUCGGUGGUGAAAUCCUGGAGCUCAACUCCAGAACUGCCUUCGAUACUGGAAGACUUGAGUCCGGGAGAGGUCGAGUGGAACUGCGAGUGUAGAGGUGAAAUUCGUAGAUAUUCGCAAGAACACCAGUGGCGAAGGCGGCUCACUGGCCCGGUACUGACGCUG
RNAcentral lists this ribosomal RNA (226 nucleotides) under uncultured bacterium. RNAcentral's name for it is "partial 16S ribosomal RNA". It matches the Rfam family "Bacterial small subunit ribosomal RNA", at positions 524 to 748 of the family's 1533-position model. The record is from RNAcentral.